UGGGGAAUUUUGGACAAUGGGGGCAACCCUGAUCCAGCCAUCCCGCGUGUGCGAUGAAGGCCUUCGGGUUGUAAAGCACUUUUGGCAGGGAAGAAACAGCCUGGGAUAAUACCCCGGGCGACUGACGGUACCUGCAGAAUAAGCACCGGCUAACUACGUGCCAGCAGCCGCGGUAAUACGUAGGGUGCAAGCGUUAAUCGGAAUUACUGGGCGUAAAGCGUGCGCAGGCGGUUCGGAAAGAAAGGUGUGAAAUCCCAGGCUUAACCUUGGAACUGCACUUUAACUACCGAGCUAGAGUACGUCAGAGGGGGGUAGAAUUCCACGUGUAGCAGUGAAAUGCGUAGAGAUGUGGAGGAAUACCGAUGGCGAAGGCAGCCCCCUGGGAUGAUACUGACGCUCAUGCACGAAAGCGUGGGGAGCAAACAGGAUUAGAUACCCUGGUAGUCCACG
Molecule: ribosomal RNA, 450 nt
Filed under: uncultured bacterium
Lineage: Bacteria
Description: partial 16S ribosomal RNA
Rfam family: Bacterial small subunit ribosomal RNA
Source: RNAcentral